Molecule: ribosomal RNA, 445 nt
Filed under: Proasellus istrianus
Lineage: Eukaryota; Metazoa; Arthropoda; Malacostraca; Isopoda; Asellidae
Description: partial 16S ribosomal RNA
Rfam family: Bacterial large subunit ribosomal RNA
Source: RNAcentral
CCUAUGAGUAGUUUAAAUGGCCGCAGUACUUUGACUGUGCAAAGGUAGCAUAAUCACUUGUCUUUUAAUUGGAGGCUGGAAUGAAGGAGGCGACGAAAUUUGGACUCUUGUUCUUUAGGAUAAAGUUGACAUAAGGGUCAAAAGGCCUUUAUAAAUCAAAGGGACGAUAAGACCCUAUAAAACUUUACUAUAAAGCAGGUAGUUUAGAUAAACACUCAUAUUUAUAGUUUAGCUGGGGCGGUUUAUAUAAAAACAAUUGUAGUUAAAAUAUAUUAAAUAAAAUCCGAGAGCUCUAAUAUGAAAUAACCAAGUUACUUUAGGGAUAACAGCAUAAUUCUCCCAGAGAGUCCUAAUUGGCGGGAGAGCUUAUGACCUCGAUGUUGAAUUGGGGUAUCUGGUGUAAGUAGAAAUAUACUAAGAUAGUCUGUUCGACUAUUAAACCCCC